CACGUAGGGUGCGAGCGUUGUCCGGAAUUAUUGGGCGUAAAGAGCUCGUAGGCGGUGUGUCGCGUCGGCCGUGAAAACCUGCAGCUUAACUGUGGGCUUGCGGUCGAUACGGGCAUCACUGGAGUUCGGCAGGGGAGACUGGAAUUCCUGGUGUAGCGGUGAAAUGCGCAGAUAUCAGGAGGAACACCGGUGGCGAAGGCGGCGUUCUGGACUGCAACUGACACUGAGGAACGAAAGCCAGGGGAGCAAACGGG
Molecule: ribosomal RNA, 254 nt
Filed under: uncultured bacterium
Lineage: Bacteria
Description: partial 16S ribosomal RNA
Rfam family: Bacterial small subunit ribosomal RNA
Source: RNAcentral